This 254-nucleotide ribosomal RNA is filed under the name uncultured bacterium. RNAcentral describes it as "partial 16S ribosomal RNA". It matches the Rfam family "Bacterial small subunit ribosomal RNA", at positions 524 to 776 of the family's 1533-position model. The record is from RNAcentral.
UACGUAGGGUGCGAGCGUUGUUCGGAAUUAUUGGGCGUAAAGAGCUCGUAGGCGGCGUGUCGCGUCGGCCGUGAAAACCUGCAGCUUAACUGUGGGCGUGCGGUCGAUACGGGCAUGACUGGAGUUCGGCAGGGGAGACUGGAAUUCCUGGUGUAGCGGUGAAAUGCGCAGAUAUCAGGAGGAACACCGGUGGCGAAGGCGGGUCUCUGGGCCGAUACUGACGCUGAGGCGCGAAAGCUAGGGGAGCAAACGGG